UCACUCUAGCGAGACUGCCGAGGUCAACUCGGAGGAAGUGGGGAUGACGUCAAAUCAUCAUGCCCCUUAUGUUCUGGGCUACACACGUGCUACAAUGGUCGGUACAAUGAGAUGCAAUACUGCGAAGUGGAGCGAAACACCAAAACCGAUCCCAGUUCGGAUUGUAGGCUGCAACUCGCCUACAUGAAGUCGGAGUUGCUAGUAAUCGCAGAUCAGAAUGCUGCGGUGAAUGCGUUCCCGGGUCUUGUACACACCGCCCGUCACACCAUGGAAGUUGGGGGUGCCCAAAGUCGGUUAAUUAAUCUAUCGCCUAAGGCAAAACCAAUGACUGGGGUGAAGUCGUAACAAGGUAACCGUAA
This 359-nucleotide ribosomal RNA is filed under the name uncultured bacterium. RNAcentral's name for it is "bacterial SSU rRNA". It matches the Rfam family "Bacterial small subunit ribosomal RNA", at positions 1135 to 1505 of the family's 1533-position model. The record is from RNAcentral.